GACGAACGCUGGCGGCGUGCCUAAUACAUGCAAGUAGAACGCUGAAGAGAGGAGCUUGCUCUUCUUGGAUGAGUUGCGAACGGGUGAGUAACGCGUAGGUAACCUGCCUGGUAGCGGGGGAUAACUAUUGGAAACGAUAGCUAAUACCGCAUAAAAUGGAUUAUCGCAUGAUAAUCCAUUGAAAGGUGCAAAUGCAUCACUACCAGAUGGACCUGCGUUGUAUUAGCUAGUUGGUGGGGUAACGGCUCACCAAGGCGACGAUACAUAGCCGACCUGAGAGGGUGAUCGGCCACACUGGGACUGAGACACGGCCCAGACUCCUACGGGAGGCAGCAGUAGGGAAUCUUCGGCAAUGGACGGAAGUCUGACCGAGCAACGCCGCGUGAGUGAAGAAGGUUUUCGGAUCGUAAAGCUCUGUUGUAAGAGAAGAGCGAGUGUGAGAGUGGAAAGUUCACACUGUGACGGUAUCUUACCAGAAAGGGACGGCUAACUACGUG
RNAcentral lists this ribosomal RNA (497 nucleotides) under uncultured bacterium. RNAcentral describes it as "partial 16S ribosomal RNA". It matches the Rfam family "Bacterial small subunit ribosomal RNA", at positions 28 to 507 of the family's 1533-position model. The record is from RNAcentral.